GAGGGUACAGCUCAAGUGGUAGAGCGCAUGCUUAGCAUGUAUGAGGUCCUGGGUUCAAUUUCCAAUACCUCCU
RNAcentral lists this transfer RNA (73 nucleotides) under Camelus bactrianus (Bactrian camel). It matches the Rfam family "tRNA". From Rfam's summary of the family: Transfer RNA (tRNA) molecules are approximately 80 nucleotides in length. Their secondary structure includes four short double-helical elements and three loops (D, anti-codon, and T loops). The record is from Rfam by way of RNAcentral. RNAcentral also lists the same sequence under 2 other names. Lineage: Eukaryota; Metazoa; Chordata; Mammalia; Artiodactyla; Camelidae.